AAUCAACGCUGGCGGCGUGCCUCAGACAUGCAAGUCGAACGCGAAAGUUCCCUUCGGGGAGCGAGUAGAGUGGCGCACGGGUGAGUAACACGUGGAUAAUUUACCUUCGGGUGGGGAAGUAACAACCGGAAACGGUUGCUAAUACCGCAUAAUGCAGCGGCAUCUAUGAUGACAGUUGUUAAAGCGGGGGAUCGCAAGACCUCGCGCCUGAAGAGAAGUCCGCGGCAGAUAGCUAGUUGGUAGGGUAAUAGGCCUACCAAGGCGACGAUCUGUAGCCGGCCUGAGAGGGCGGUCGGCCACACUGACACUGACAUACGGGUCAGACUCCUACGGGAGGCAGCAGUCGGGAAUUUUGGGCAAUGGGCGAAAGCCU
RNAcentral lists this ribosomal RNA (373 nucleotides) under uncultured bacterium. Its description in RNAcentral is "bacterial SSU rRNA". It matches the Rfam family "Bacterial small subunit ribosomal RNA", at positions 32 to 384 of the family's 1533-position model. The record is from RNAcentral.